Aegilops tauschii subsp. strangulata is the source of this 2746-nucleotide non-coding RNA. The record is from RefSeq and is a predicted model, not a curated record. Lineage: Eukaryota; Viridiplantae; Streptophyta; Magnoliopsida; Poales; Poaceae.
UAAGAAAUAGUCUGCAUUGGCGGUGGACUGACUCCGGGCAAUACUCGCCGAGCUAGUGCUACCUUGCUCUCUUCAAGGGAUCAAUCCCAGACCCUUUGUGAAGCUAAGGACGUGGUGCUUCUGGUCUCGAGCACAUAAUAUCCGGGCCACAUACGCGAGCGUAAGUAAUGAAGCAAAUCAAGAAAUACGUCUGGGCGUAUGGGCCUGGAAGUAGACGGAGGAGACGGCAAACUAGUCGAGCCGUGGCCCAGGACGUCGGGCCUCUUCCUGAUCCGUGGAUCAGGAUAAUUGUUGUCGUCUCCUACCUCACGCUGCUGCGUUUUUUUAGUAGAGAGAGGGCCGAGCUUUGGGAGAGGCGAUUCGACAACUUAGCGAAGAUCUGCCGGUGGAAAUGGAGUUCCUGAUGCAGCCAAUUAAAAGAUUAACGGCGUUGGAGGAGGUUAAUGGUAGUGACGUCCCGAUGGACCACCUCCAUUAGAUUAGUGCGGGAAUGGAUCAGCCCCUCGCGGAGAGCUUCGAUGGGCGGCUUCGUGUGGCGGAUCGACCGGUGGCAUCUGAGAAGGGGGGGAUUCGCCAGAAACUUCCGCAUAGUCCAUAGGCAAGAAGGAUCCUAGAGCUCCAGGAUGGACCCGCUGGAAUGUGUCAUGUCACUGAAGAGCUGUUGUGUACCAACAAUGCUGUUAGCACAGUGUGAUCUCUAAGGGAGGAACAUUAGCUAGCAGGACCAAAACUCUGGAAGCAAGAAAGAUAAUGAGGGAAAUCAGACUCCUCUGGUGACUGGAACGAGAACGCUGGGUCAGCAAGUGGUGGAAUGCCGCAAGCUAAGCCGUGGAUCAGAAGAGGAAAAUCUAUUUGGUCCGUGGCUCGUGAAAUCUGCUUUUCCGUCGAAUGGCUGGAGGCACGAAUUGGAUGCAGAGCUAUGGCUCUUCUCCCCCAAGGCCCCAACGCGGGCGGCAUUUGGAAGCGGAGGAGUGAGAAAGAGGGAUAGGAAGCAGAGGCGCCGACAGCCAUGAAGUUCCUAAUGCAACUAAUCAAUCAGGAGGUAUGUCGAUUCGUAAGUAUAUUGUGAUCUUUUUCUGUUUUGCACGCGCGGAAGGGGGAACUCGCCGCAGGUGUCAUGGCUGUGUAUAGGUAAGGUCAACCCUCAAGCUCCAUGGUGGGCUAAGAGGUUAGUUCACAACAUACUAACAUAGAGAUGUAAAAAUUCGUAGGUGGUAAUUGGGAUAGAGUACAUUUGUAGAAAUUUGGUCCCUGUUCAUAUAAUUUGGAUAGAGUAUGGUAGUCGCAAGGAAGUAAUUUGGAUAGAGUAUGUUGUAAAUUUUGAUUAGCAGCUUAAUAGGGCAGUUUUGGAACUUUGCAUUUAAGAAAUGUUGCAUCCUUGGGAGAAGAAUUGGUACUUCCUCUGUAAAUUAAUAUAAGAUCUAAAAGAUUUUAUAUUUACAGUUGGAGUACAAAUGUACCACAAAUGCAGUUCUGCAGAUUUGGCAGAUGCUUUAAGUUUAAAAGAACAGAACUAGGUACUAGUCAAACAUUUUUUUUUUGGUUUAGCAGCUAAAUAGGCUGGUGAGUAGAAGUGUGGUCUCACAAGAUACUGGUUCCUUGAGGGGAAUAUUUGCAGAGGCAUUUUAAAAAAUUGGAUGCUUAGGACUACAUUUUUUGUAAACAUGAUUUGCAUAACCUGCAGUUUUUUUUUGUCUGUUUGAAGCGAACUCGUCGUUCAGUCUAUCACCUUAUCAUUUUUUGUUAUGAAAUGAAUCAUUAGUAGCAUGCCUUUUCUCUUCUUCCCAUAUUGUUUUCUGUCACAUUAAGCAUGAUUUUUUAUGUUUAUUUGAAGCAGAGGGCCUGAUGCAAAACUGUAUCAUAUUUUUACUGAUUUUUGCUGCGACGAGCCCCUUUAUUUGCUUUGCUUACAAAGCUAAUAUUUAAAUCUUUUGAUAUUUUUAGCAUAUGUUUUGGUUGAAUUGAACGGCCCAGAAGUUACAUCAUCACAUGUUGUUCUAGCCUAUUUGAAGCUUUAGAUUUAUUUCAUAUAUGGAUCUUGGACUACAAACCGAAUCUGGAUUUGGUGACUUCAUAACCAUUGCAGCCCUGUUUCUGGUUUAUCUCUUUACGUUGGGUAUGGAUGUGUUCAUGCGUUUGUGGAUGAAGCGAAGCUUCUGUAGGCUAGUAGGCGAUGGUCUUUAUAGGGCCACCCAUUGUUUUUCUGCAAUUUGUUGUGUUCUUGCUCUUCCACCUAUUUACUGAUUUGUUUACUGAUGUUACAGAAAUCUAAACCUGAAAUUAUAUUCAUUCAUGGAGUCAGGAAACAAGAACUGGAUCCAUGUGUGAAAUGACAUGUUCAAUAAACCUUCGGAGCUUGGCACUAAUAUGUUCGGCGGCCGCCAUCAAACUCUUUUGCAAUCUCAGAGCCCGCCUCUAACAUGCAGAUGGUCCAUCAGCGUAAUUUGAUGAACUUGAAUAUGCUAGGCACUACUAGAAGUUUGGAAACCCUAAACUCAAAUUCUAGAAUUCUUGUACCUUUCCUGUGGUGCAGCCAAAGGCUGUUUAUCUCAAUUCCUGAGAUUUUGUUUCCCAAUACAACAGGAGAUGUCUUGACAUCACAAUCCUGUGUUUUUACUUAUUUUCAUCUGUUUCAAAAUGAUGUGAUCCAAAGAGGCCUAUGCAACGUCUGCAUAUACCCACUUUGACAAAAAAAAUAUUGCACGAAAAGCAAAUAACCUUUGGUCGAUGAAUAUUACUCGUAUAA